AUUUAAAUAGUUUAUAUAAAAUAUUGAUUUGUGGAAUCAAAGAUGUAAGUUAUUACUUUAGAUA
This 64-nucleotide transfer RNA is filed under the name Asthenopholis sp. AST01. RNAcentral's name for it is "tRNA-His". The record is from RNAcentral. Lineage: Eukaryota; Metazoa; Arthropoda; Insecta; Coleoptera; Scarabaeidae.